RNAcentral lists this ribosomal RNA (450 nucleotides) under uncultured bacterium. RNAcentral's name for it is "partial 16S ribosomal RNA". It matches the Rfam family "Bacterial small subunit ribosomal RNA", at positions 354 to 796 of the family's 1533-position model. The record is from RNAcentral.
GUGGGGAAUCUUCCGCAAUGGACGAAAGUCUGACGGAGCAACGCCACGUGAGUGAUGAAGGUCUUCGGAUUGUAAAGCUCUGUUAAUCGGGACGAAAGAGCCUAGUGUGAAUAAUGCUAGGAAGUGACGGUACCGGAAUAGAAAGCCACGGCUAACUACGUGCCAGCAGCCGCGGUAAUACGUAGGUGGCAAGCGUUGUCCGGAAUUAUUGGGCGUAAAGCGCGCGCAGGCGGAUCUGCCAGUCUGUCUUAAAAGUUCGGGGCUUAACCCCGUGAUGGGAUGGAAACUACAGAUCUAGAGUAUCGGAGAGGAAAGUGGAAUUCCUAGUGUAGCGGUGAAAUGCGUAGAUAUUAGGAAGAACACCAGUGGCGAAGGCGACUUUCUGGACGAAAACUGACGCUGAGGCGCGAAAGCCAGGGGAGCGAACGGGAUUAGAUACCCUGGUAGUCC